CAAACUGUUCCUUUGUAGUCUGUGAUAAUGGUUAGCAACUUAUGCUCAUGAAAGGCAGUUAGUUCUAUGCAUUGUGUCGAGUCUACUUGUGCAGAGUGGUGGUCAUCAUCAUACUAAGGAAGAUUAUACUGUGAGAGGCAAAGAACCAAAGGAUGAAGUUCAAAUCUACACUUGGAAAGAUGCCAAUCUUCGUGAGUUAACAGAUUUGGUCAAAGAAGUUUCUGUAGCGGCUAGGAGAAGAGACGCAAUAUUAUCUUUUGCGUUCGUUUAUCCAGACAAGAAUGGACGCUUUAUUCUCAGACAGGUAAAGGUUGGUCAGACGAUGUCUUAUCCUAACCGAAAACAACCAGACGACAGUAAAACACUCGCUGACCUUCAUUUUGAGAUUGGAGAUUAUCUGGAUGUAGCAAUCUACUAGGAGGAGGUUUCUGUUUCUCGUCAAGUGAGGACAAGGGAAAAAAACACAUUUUUGGUUGUUCCCAUUUCAAAACUUCAUUCAGACAACAUUUUAUGUCUAAUAUGUGGUGUAAUGAUUUUACUCAGUUUAAACGAGAUUUGACCAAUUUAAA
Molecule: long non-coding RNA, 569 nt
Organism: Brassica napus (rape)
Lineage: Eukaryota; Viridiplantae; Streptophyta; Magnoliopsida; Brassicales; Brassicaceae
Exons: 4
Source: RefSeq, a predicted model, not a curated record